Molecule: small nuclear RNA, 107 nt
Organism: Phyllostomus discolor (pale spear-nosed bat)
Lineage: Eukaryota; Metazoa; Chordata; Mammalia; Chiroptera; Phyllostomidae
Source: RefSeq, a predicted model, not a curated record
GUGCUUGCUUCAGCAGCGCAUAUACUAAAAUUGGAAUGAUACAGAGAAGAUCAGCAUGGCCCCUGUGUGAGGAUGACACACAAAUUUGUGCAGUGUUCCAUAUUUUU